AACGAACGCUGGCGGCAGGCUUAACACAUGCAAGUCGAACGCUCCGCAAGGAGAGUGGCAGACGGGUGAGUAACGCGUGGGAAUCUACCCAGAUCUACGGAACAACAGUUGGAAACGACUGCUAAUACCGUAUACGCCCUACGGGGGAAAGAUUUAUCGGAUUUGGAUGAGCCCGCGUAAGAUUAGCUAGUUGGUGGGGU
Molecule: ribosomal RNA, 200 nt
Filed under: uncultured bacterium
Lineage: Bacteria
Description: partial 16S ribosomal RNA
Rfam family: Bacterial small subunit ribosomal RNA
Source: RNAcentral